This 460-nucleotide ribosomal RNA is filed under the name uncultured bacterium. RNAcentral describes it as "partial 16S ribosomal RNA". It matches the Rfam family "Bacterial small subunit ribosomal RNA", at positions 338 to 795 of the family's 1533-position model. The record is from RNAcentral.
CCUACGGGUGGCAGCAGUGAGGAAUAUUGGUCAAUGGCCGGAAGGCUGAACCAGCCAUGCCGCGUGAAGGUCAGUGCCCUAUGGGCGUUAAACUUCUUUUGUGCGGGAGCAAUAAUGGUCACGUGUGGCCAGACGAGAGUACCGUACGAAUAAGCAUCGGCUAACUCCGUGCCAGCAGACGCGGUAAGACGGGGGAUGCAAGCGUUGUCCGGAGUUAUUGGGAUUAAGGGGUGCGUAGGCUGUGAGGUAAGUCAUCGGUGAAAUGCCCCCGCUCAACGGGGUGAAGUGCCAUGUCUACUGCCUUGCUGGAAUGCGGAUGCCGUGGGAGGAAUGUGUGGUGUAGCGGUGAAAUGCAUAGAUAUCACACAGAACACCGAUUGCGAAGGCAUCUCACGAAUCCGCGAUUGACGCUGAUGCACGAAAGCGUGGGUAUCAAACAGGAUUAGAUACCCCAGUAGUC